RNAcentral lists this ribosomal RNA (420 nucleotides) under uncultured bacterium. RNAcentral's name for it is "partial 16S ribosomal RNA". It matches the Rfam family "Bacterial small subunit ribosomal RNA", at positions 360 to 772 of the family's 1533-position model. The record is from RNAcentral.
AAUAUUGGACAAUGGGGGCAACCCUGAUCCAGCCAUGCCGCGUGUGUGCAGAAGGUCUUCGGAUUGUAAAUCACUUUAAGUUGGGAGGAAGGGCUUUAGGUUAAUACCCUGAAGUUUUGACGUUACCAACAGAAUAAGCAUCGGCUAACACUGUGCGAGCAUCCGGGGUAACACAGAGGGUGCAAGCGUUAAUAGGAAUUACUGGGCGUAAAGCGCGCGUAGGUGGUUCAGUAAGAUGGGUGUGAAAUCCCCGGGCUUAACCUGGGAACUGCUUUCAUAACUGCUGAGCUAGAGUACGGUAGAGGGUAGUGGAAUUUCCUGGGUAGCGGUGAAAUGCGUAGAUAUAGGAAGGAACACCAGUGGCGAAGGCGACUACCUGGACUGAUACUGACACUGAGGUGCGAAAGCGUGGGGAGCAAA